UAAUACGUAGGGAGCGAGCGUUGUCCGGAUUUAUUGGGCGUAAGGAGCGCGUAGGCGGCUCGGUAAGCCGGAUGUGAAACCUCCAAGCUCAACUUGGAGCGGCCAUUCGGAACUGCUGUGGCUAGAGUCUGGUAGGGGAACACGGAAUUCCUGGUGUAGCGGUGAAAUGCUUAGAUAUCAGGAGGAACACCAGUGGCGAAGGCGGUGUUCUGGGCCAGUACUGACGCUGAGGCGCGAAAGCGUGGGGAGCGAACAGGA
This 258-nucleotide ribosomal RNA is filed under the name uncultured prokaryote. RNAcentral's name for it is "partial 16S ribosomal RNA". It matches the Rfam family "Bacterial small subunit ribosomal RNA", at positions 521 to 777 of the family's 1533-position model. The record is from RNAcentral.